RNAcentral lists this small RNA (418 nucleotides) under Pongo abelii (Sumatran orangutan). RNAcentral's name for it is "processed transcript". The record is from RNAcentral. Lineage: Eukaryota; Metazoa; Chordata; Mammalia; Primates; Hominidae.
GACCCAUGAUCCUUGCAACUAUCACAGCCAUGCUGGAGCCAGGGAACACAGGAGAGGGGACCAGAACCCUCCCAGUUACCUUUUUUGUGGCUUGUUUGGAGAUCCUCACCUCAGAACUUUCAAGGAUCACUUCCAAACAUGCAAAGUAGAAGGGGCCUGGCCACUCAUAGAUAAUAAUUAUCUUUCAGUUCAAGUGACAAACGUACCUGUGGUCCCUGGAUCCAGUGCUACUGCUACAAAUAAGGUUAUGUCAUGGCUCCCUGAGAGUGAAAUAUGUGUGAAAUCCAACACCCAGCAGGAUAUACUAACAUUCUACAAAGCCAGAAUGGAUGCCUCAGCCUCCUUGGAAUGAUGUUAAACCAAUUGAGUAAACUGGUCCUGCCAACUGCAAUGUAAUAAAGUAGGUCUAUCAAACUUC